Molecule: long non-coding RNA, 1198 nt
Organism: Elaeis guineensis (African oil palm)
Lineage: Eukaryota; Viridiplantae; Streptophyta; Magnoliopsida; Arecales; Arecaceae
Source: RefSeq, a predicted model, not a curated record
UGAGAGGCUCAUCACCUAGCUUCCCCGGCGAUAGAUCAUUCAUGAAACCGAACGAACCGAUGGAUCGAGAACAUGCUGCACGGCUUGCGCACCGGUCGGAGCCUCUCCUCCAUGAUCUCCUUUGUUUCCUCCGGCUCCGACCCUCUGAAACCGCUAACUCCAGCCCUCACCUCUCCAGCUCCUCCCCACUUCUUUCUCUGCUACGGUUUCUUUAGAAAUUCGCAGUGGUCCCUGAGAUUUGGGCUUUCACCCUUGGCCCAAGAGUUGCUUCCUAGCCCUAGAUUUCGAGAGCUCCCCGAGAAUUCGAGCCGCCAUGGAGGAGGAGAACACGGGGCCCUUCCACCGGGCGACCAUGAUGGCGUCGAAGAUGGCUGCUGCUCUCGCCAGCACUGAUAACCGCACCCAGCACUUUCUCGUCUUGAGGCAUUGGAAAAUGACCAUGCCGGAGCAGAGGUGGUUGAGAUUAAUGAUGAAGAUGAUGCUUCUCUAGAUAACGAUGAUCAAGUCAAAAGCAACAGCUAAGAACAUGAAGUGCAAGACUAGACAGGCGAGAGCACUGGCGAAUGCUGAGAAGGCACCAAGGAAAUUCAUACAGGAUGUAAGCACUAGUGCAUGUCUCUGGAUAUUAACGGUUGUCUGCACCUGUAAUUUGUCUCACGUGUUGCCAUUUGCUUUUAAUUGCCACUGGCAAAUCUAGAGGCCUCGACUCCACUUGUUCCCUCCUAUUUGAUGGCCACCAACCACUACGUCUGGUUCCCAUUUCUGCACAGUUUGUGUAUGCUUCCAACUACACAUGCAUUAGGUGUGGGAGGCAAUUUUGUUCAUGCCGUUGUCUGGUUAUACACAAUGCCACCCGAUGUUCAAAUUUUGUAGCCUGAUCUUUGGCUUGAUUGUUAUCAAGAGCUCCUGUAUGAGAUUGUCCAGGUUUUAAAGAUUGCUUGGAGGUCUGGUUUGUUGAGAAGAAAGGAGGUUUGGUCCCUCUUGUAGACAUUAUGAUGUUAAAUCAUGUUGUCUAUACCAGUACUCAAUGAUUAAAAGUAUGCAUUUCUGAGAUGCAAUUGCAUCCUUAUCUGCAAAAUUUAUAAUUUAUUACCAAACGAACUGAUCAAAAUUAUAUUGACAAAGCAAAAGAUUGUAUAGCAAACUGGAAUGGCUAUGAUUAUUAAUUAAUAUACAGUCUUAAACUUAGCCUUAUUAA